This is a long non-coding RNA of Pangasianodon hypophthalmus (striped catfish), 2029 nucleotides long. RefSeq lists it as uncharacterized. The record is from RefSeq and is a predicted model, not a curated record. The transcript has 4 exons. Lineage: Eukaryota; Metazoa; Chordata; Actinopteri; Siluriformes; Pangasiidae.
GGGACGUUUUGUCCUUUCUCCCCAACACAUUUCAGACUAUUAUCAUGAGUAAUGAGUCAGUUUUUAAAGUGUAAAUAAACCCAACGAGCCUUAAUUGUUGUACUUUCAGGCCUCCUUGGCAGAAGCAGAGGAGAAACAUCAGAAGGCUGUGGAGACCAUUGCUCAGCUGGAGGCGGAGAAGUCCAACCUGACAUACCAGGUGGAGACACUGCGAGGAACAGUGCAGGAAUCGGGGAACCUGCUUUCUGAGACUCACAGGCAGUGUGACGAGCUAACGAACGAGUGUGAGCGAGAGCGGGAGGCUCACAGCAUCCUCCAGUCCGAGCACAACGAGAUGAAGGAGAAGCUAAAACACUGUGAAGAGUUACUAAUGGAACGUGAGCGAGAGAGGGAGGUUCCCAGCAUCCUCCAGGCGGAGAACGAUGAGAUGAAGAAUACUCUGACGGACAUUGAGGAGUUACUGAAGAAACAUGGCAUACCUCUUGGAACCAAAGAGACAACAAAUGUUUUUUCAGGAUUCAAGAUUUUAUUUGUCACAUACUUAGUUAUAAACAGUAUAUAACCUGCAGUGAAAUGAAAACCUGGCCUGCUCCUCUUUUGAAUGUGCGUUUAAAUUACUAAAUUAAAAAAUGAAUAAAUAAGAAGAAAUAAGAAAUAUAUGUACAAUAAUGUCAUGUUCAGACAGGAAGCAGUGUGAGGAGAAUUGGCUCCACAUCAGAAUCAACGUGGCGGGUGUACGAGGGGUGAAAAUAUGAAGGAAAUAACAACAACAUGUUGAUGUGAAGUAGAAAUGUGAAUUAUAAAGGCAAAAUGGACUUAAUUUUAAAAAGUCAGUUGAUUUUUUAAAUUGAAGUUAGAAGAUGAUUUAAUUAAAGGAAGGCACAUUUCAUCAUUUAUCACCACAUCGUUUUCUCCAAAAUUGGUCUUCCUGGGAGCGGAGCGAGUUAAUCAUCACAGAUACCUCGAUCAUUAUCCGAGGUCAUCAUCACCGUGGCCUACGAGCAGACAGCCGACCCAAGCAGAGCCAGUGGCAGGUGUUAUACAGGUGUUAAACUCCGCCCCCUGGGUUAUACAGGUGUUAAACUCCGCCCCCUGGGUUAUACAGGUGUUAAACUCCUCCCCCUGGCUUAUACAGGUGUUAAACUCCUCCCCCUGGCUUAUACAGGUGUUAAACUCCGCCCCCUGGCUUAUACAGGUGUUAAACUCCGCCCCCUGGGUUAUACAGGUGUUAAACUCCGCCCCCUGGGUUUCCUGUCACUUUGAACCAGGUUUUUAAAAUCAAAUCUGUACUGUUUUAAUCAUAUAAUUUCUUCAUAUCCCUCACAUUUAUUCAGCUGGCUCGCAUGCAUUUUUCACUCCUCAUACAUCAUAAGCUACAAGGAAAGAUAUAAAAAAUAAACACAAAGAAUGUGACAAUCUCACUGCCUCUGUUCCUUGUUCCUGGUCAUAGCUGACAGACUCUUAUAAAACCUUUACAUAAGUGAUAUAAACGUACAUUAAGUAUUCGGAUCACCCGAGUGGACUUUACAUGGCUCACUCCUUUUCAAGUGUUUUGUUGUCUUUUUUUUCAGGUAUGUAGCUUAAUGUUAUUAAAAAAAACAAGAAGAGACCAAGUGCAUUUUUAUUUUAAUUUUGGCACUUAUUUAGAAUUUAUUUUUAUUUAUUUAUUUAGAUUCCAUCAGUGGACAGUGGAUAGAUUUUAACCAGCCGGACUUCUUGCAAAAACUGUGAUGAAUUUACUGGUUGCACAAUUACACUAUUUGUCCUUAUAGUACACAAUAAUACUGCUUUGUGAUAAUGUCCACUGUUAAAAGCGCUACACAAAUAAAAUUGAAUUAAAUUGAAUUUAGAAGUUCGUUAAAAAAAUGAAAAUUCAAAGUGUACUUAGGAUUUUCUUUUACCUGUUAACAUUUUAAUAUUAAUUAUGGCCAUGAGAUACCGAUAUGAUGAAGGAAAUGAAAUGACAAAAUGUUUUAACAUUUGAUGUUUUGAUUUUAUUUUUAUUUUUGACACUAAUGUUGUGUGCUUA